This 496-nucleotide ribosomal RNA is filed under the name uncultured bacterium. RNAcentral's name for it is "partial 16S ribosomal RNA". It matches the Rfam family "Bacterial small subunit ribosomal RNA", at positions 29 to 507 of the family's 1533-position model. The record is from RNAcentral.
AUGAACGCUGGCGGCGUGCCUCAUCCAUGCCAGUCGCGCGAACAGACGAGGAGCUUGCUCCUCUGACGUUAGCGGCGGACGGGUGAGUAACACGUGGAUAACCUACCUAUAAGACUGGGAUAACUUCGGGAAACCGGAGCUAAUACCGGAUAAUAUAUUGAACCGCCUGGUUCAAUAGUGAAAGACGGUUUUGCUGUCACUUAUAGAUGGAUCCGCGCCGCAUUAGCUAGUUGGUAAGGUAACGGCUUACCAAGGCAACGAUGCGUAGCCGACCUGAGAGGGUGAUCGGCCACACUGGAACUGAGACACGGUCCAGACUCCUACGGGAGGCAGCAGUAGGGAAUCUUCCGCAAUGGGCGAAAGCCUGACGGAGCAACGCCGCGUGAGUGAUGAAGGUCUUCGGAUCGUAAAACUCUGUUAUUAGGGAAGAACAAAUGUGUAAGUAACUAUGCACGUCUUGACGGUACCUAAUCAGAAAGCCACGGCUAACUACGUG